Molecule: non-coding RNA, 65 nt
Organism: Myotis lucifugus (little brown bat)
Lineage: Eukaryota; Metazoa; Chordata; Mammalia; Chiroptera; Vespertilionidae
Source: Rfam
GGCAGUUCUCAGGUGAUGCAGCCUGGAUUCGGGCUCCCUCCUCUCUGGUUCACCUGAGAACCACA